Molecule: ribosomal RNA, 253 nt
Filed under: uncultured bacterium
Lineage: Bacteria
Description: partial 16S ribosomal RNA
Rfam family: Bacterial small subunit ribosomal RNA
Source: RNAcentral
UCCGGAGGGGGCUAGCGUUGUUCGGAAUUACUGGGCGUAAAGCGCACGUAGGCGGCUUUGCAAGUUAGAGGUGAAAGCCCGGGGCUCAACUCCGGAAUUGCCUUUAAAACUGCAUCGCUAGAAUUGUGGAGAGGUAAGUGGAAUUCCGAGUGUAGAGGUGAAAUUCGUAGAUAUUCGGAAGAACACCAGUGGCGAAGGCGUCAUCCUGGACCGGCAUUGACGCUGAGGAGCGAAAGCUAGGGGAGCAAACGGG